This 225-nucleotide long non-coding RNA is filed under the name Elaeis guineensis (African oil palm). RNAcentral's name for it is "long non-coding RNA (EGUI_LNC061456)". Lineage: Eukaryota; Viridiplantae; Streptophyta; Magnoliopsida; Arecales; Arecaceae. The record is from RNAcentral.
GCACCAGGCCUUUGGGUCUGCAAUGAUUAUUGAGUUAAUGGACUCAUUAUCAAACACCUUAAUGGGAGGCUAUGACUCAGUUAUCUCCAUAACUUUGUCAUUUUAAGGACCUAAUAAUUUUAGAAGAUUUAAUAUUAUUAGUGAUUUAAGGAUAGAAAGGACAUGGACCAAUUUGCUCCCACUGACUUCACCAAGUCAAGUCCUCCCACUGACUUCCCAAGUCAU